GGCCUGGGAGCAAUGAUAGAGCUUCUGACUUCAGAUCAGAAGGCUACGUGUUCAUAUCACGUCCGGGUCA
Molecule: non-coding RNA, 70 nt
Organism: Trichonephila clavata
Lineage: Eukaryota; Metazoa; Arthropoda; Arachnida; Araneae; Nephilidae
Source: the annotation of a GenBank genome assembly